This 559-nucleotide ribosomal RNA is filed under the name Trigonopterus sp. 165 MB-2011. Its description in RNAcentral is "partial 16S ribosomal RNA". The record is from RNAcentral. Lineage: Eukaryota; Metazoa; Arthropoda; Insecta; Coleoptera; Curculionidae.
AACCGACCUGGCUCACACCGGUUUAAACUCAGAUCAUGUAAAAUUUUAAAGGUCGAACAGACCUAAUUUAUUAACUUYUUCGCCAAUAAUAUAUUUUAAUCCAACAUCGAGGUCGCAAACUUUUCUUUCGAUAAGAACUCUAAAAAAAAUUACGCUGUUAUCCCUAAGGUAAUUUAAUCUUAUAUUCCAAAAUAUUAGGAUCCUAUAAUCAUAAAUCAAUGUUUUAUCUAAAAAAAAGUUUAAUAAAUUUUUCUAUCACCCCAAUAAAAUACUUUAAUAAAAAUUAAUCUUAAAUUCUUCCUUAUUCAAUUUCUUUUAAAAUAUUAAACUCUAUAGGGUCUUCUCGUCUUCUAUAAAAAUUUAAGCUUUUUAACUUAAAAAUAAAAUUCUACAAAAAUUUUAAAGAGACAGUCAUUUUUUCAUCAAACCCUUCAUACAAGCUUUCAAUUAAAAAACUAAUGAUUAUGCUACCUUUGCACGGUCAAUAUACCGCGGCCGUUUAAAUCCUCAAUGGGCAGGUCAAACUUGAAAUUAUAAUCAACAAGCCAUGUUUUUAAUA